RNAcentral lists this transfer RNA (74 nucleotides) under Candidatus Doudnabacteria bacterium RIFCSPHIGHO2_01_FULL_50_67. RNAcentral describes it as "tRNA-Gly". It matches the Rfam family "tRNA". From Rfam's summary of the family: Transfer RNA (tRNA) molecules are approximately 80 nucleotides in length. Their secondary structure includes four short double-helical elements and three loops (D, anti-codon, and T loops). The record is from RNAcentral. RNAcentral also lists the same sequence under 7 other names. Lineage: Bacteria; Candidatus Doudnaibacteriota.
GCAGGUAUGGUUUAAUGGUAGAACGCUUCCUUGCCAAGGAAGGGGUGGGGGUUCGAUUCCCCCUACCUGCUCCA